UCUCGUUCUGUGUGGUUGGUCACUGAGCCAGCUCAGGGGUAGGGAAUGCAUCAGGUCAAUUAAGUCCUGCUAGUUGGCAAGGGUUUCCUGCAAUCACACACCAAGACCCGUUGUGUGUCCUGCCUUGGGCUGGGAAAGAGGGUGGCUGAUGAGGCCAAAAGCUAUGUACUGGAGAAGCCUGCCUUCAAUUCAGCAAAUUACUGUAGUCACAUUACUUCACAUAAGAACCACUUGAGGUGAUUCUGCUAGCUAGAUGACAAUCAAUUCUGCCUGCAUUAGCAAGAAAGGAAAUUCACUUGCAAACUCUUCAAAUGGAUGGCAUCAUGGAGAAGAGAAUUGGGAUUCAUAUUCAUAUUUCCAGCACAGUGUUUCUCAUUCAGGAGAGAUAUAUUUGAAAUUAAAGCUCUCCUCUCCUCCGCUGCUAUCUGUCAAACCUUUAUUUGAUAGUCAUGAGCAUGCAUAUCAUAACAGUUCCAGCAACCAUGUCUGCUUUGAAGCAGAGCCUUGAGAAACUCUUGCAGACAAAUAAUGAGUACAUUUUGAGUUUUCUUUCCAUUGGGAGGGUUAUGGCACUUGCCCUAUGUAGAUGAAAUCAAAUCAAAUUAAUUUAUAUAGCCCUUCUUACAUCAGCUGAGUGCUGUACAGAAACCCAGCCUAAAACCUCAAACAGCAAGCAAUGCAGGUGUAGAAGCACGGUGGCUAGGAAAAACUCCCUAGAAAGGCCAAAACCUAGGAAGAAACCUAGAGAGGAACCAGGCUAUGAGGGGUGGCCAGUCCUCUUCUGGCUGUGCCAGGUGGAUAUUAUAACAGAACAUGGCCAAGAUGUUCAAAUGUUCAUAAAUGACCAGCAUGGUCAAAUAAUAAUAAUCACAGUAGUUGUCGAGGGUGCAACAGGUCAGCAUCUCAGGAGUAAAUGUCAGUUGGCUUUUCAUAGCCGAUCAUUGAGACUAUCUCUACUGCUCCUGCUGUCUCUAGAGAGUUGAAAACAGCAGGUCUGGGGCAGGUAGCACAUCCGGUGAACAGGUUGGGGUUCCAUAGCCGCAGGCAGAACAGUUGAAACUGGAGCAGAAGCACAGCCACGUGGACUGGGGACAGCAAAGAGUCAUCAUGCCAGUUAGUCCUGAGGCAUGGUCCUAGGGCUCAGGUCCUCCGUGAGAGAGAAAGAAAGAGAGAAAGAGAGAGAGCAUACUUAAAUUCACACAGCACACCAGAUA
This is a long non-coding RNA of Oncorhynchus masou masou (cherry salmon), 1214 nucleotides long. RefSeq lists it as uncharacterized. The record is from RefSeq and is a predicted model, not a curated record. Lineage: Eukaryota; Metazoa; Chordata; Actinopteri; Salmoniformes; Salmonidae. The transcript is spliced from 3 exons.